This is a long non-coding RNA of Hemicordylus capensis (graceful crag lizard), 2270 nucleotides long. RefSeq lists it as uncharacterized. Lineage: Eukaryota; Metazoa; Chordata; Lepidosauria; Squamata; Cordylidae. The record is from RefSeq and is a predicted model, not a curated record. The transcript has 4 exons.
CCCCUCCCUGUGGGAUCACCCAUUGGCUCCUCCUGUAGCAGGAAAGGCAAGGGGCUUCCAAUCCGAAGCAGGCCUUGCCUCAGUAUCAAGGUCUCCUUGUUCUGCUGUUCAGGAAUAUCAGGGACACAGCACCCGUGGAUGCACACCAGGUACUUGUGGACCACACACUGACUGCCAGAGAUUUAUGCCCACAUUUCUGCUGUCUAUGAGGAUGGAGCAAGAUUAUGAACUGGAUCAAGAUUUAAAAGCACUUUUGCUCCCUGUUAUGUGCUUUAUACUUUACUAAAUGGAUGCAAUUGAUUGAACUUACUUGGAGCCCAUCAGAAACUAACAGACGGGAAAGAGUAUUUGCAUCGUCCCAGUAGAUGAAUAAUGCAUUUUUGACAGCUUUAUUUUCAUGUCUGGCCUUCAGUUAUAUCUUUUCUCAAGGAAGAAGGUGCUGCAAGUUGGAUGACCAGUGAUGAUAUUUGCCACAUUGACUUCAAUACAGUGGACUGCUAGGAACGGAAAGGGGACUAACUUUCUACCAGCAUAUCUGUGGAUGAAACUGCAGGAUUCAGAAGUUCAUUAAUUUCUGAAUAUCUUCAAAACUGUCAUGCAGCUAUUUUAUGUUCCGCGUCAUCGGUGUCUGUCUUACUCUGGUUAAAAUUCAGUACUUUACUCCAGCUAUACCAGAUACAUGUUGGCAUUGUGUUGCAAUGCAAGCUAAUGAUAAACUUACAGUAUUUGCUGUGUGUGGUCAGAUUUGGAUCUUUGCGGGGAAUACAGUGAAGCUAUGGUUGUAAAUAACCUCUGUUACCUUUAUAUUUUGUGUUAGGCUUCAAAGAAGAUAGUAUAAACCAGCUUAAAUAAAUGGUAACCCAUUUAAUUACAACAUCCAACACUGAAAUAGAACAAAAUGGAAAGAUGGAGAUAGAUCCAGUUUAAGAGCUGGCUGGAAAAGAUUAUGGGAAACCCUAUGUUUGGUAAAGUUUAUUCAUUUAAUUAGGUUUAGGGAAGGGAGAGGAGGAGGAAUUGUUAUCAGAACUGGAAGCAAUGAUGAAACAGUUGUAUCAAUAAAAACGUUGUAUUAAAAUUGUUAUCUUGAGAUGAAUAUUAUAUGUUUAAUUUAACUUUAUUAUAAUUUCUGAUCGGGUCAUUAGUUAAUUUUUAGAUUUUUAUUUCUGUUAAUUAUAUUUUUAUACUCUACUCUGAAAUUAACUGUGUCAGGAUUCAUUUCAUAGGGCUGGUUCAGGAUGUUUAAACAGGGUUUUGCUCUCUGUGUGCAGAUCACCUCUCUCACAUGAGUAAAGGACAUGCUGAGAUUACAUUGGCACAUCCUUUAAUGAUGUUAGGGCAGGUAUUCUCUUAGUGUGACCCUGUCCUCCUCACGCUCAGUGACUGUUGUUCAUCUGAACCAGCCCAUAAUAAAUUAUUUGAGACAAAGUAAAAUAAAAGAGAAAAAACUUCUAAGAAGCUAGUGCUCUUAUUGUCACUUGGUGGCUGCUUUCAGUAUUUUAGGACACAAUUAGAUAUAUAGUGUAGUAGUGAACUUGAUGUAGUUUUGUUUUAUUGUAGUUUACUUGGAAUGAACUUCCAAGCCAAAAGGCUUAAUUAACAAGGGAAGUUCUCCUUUCAAAUCCCCACUGAAAUGAAUGAGAGCAAUGUAAAGGCAAGACUCUAUGCCCAUACAGUUCUUGCUUGUUUCAAUGAGAUAUGUGCAGGAGAAGAUCUUAAUAUGUACUCAGCAGCAGUAUAAGUCCAAACUAAACUGAGACUCCUCAUGAUAAAAUCCAGGAAUUUCCCUUAUUGUUUUCAGAUUGCUAAUUUAACGUGACCUACAGUUCCUCAUUUUCAAAUUGUUGCUUUCUCAUACUACCAAACAACAGCCUAUUCAACCACUAAAAAUAUGGGCAGUAGACUGGAGCUUGCAAAAAACAAUAAUUCUCAGUACUUUUCAUAAAGGCAUGCGGGACAGGGCCUUCUCUGUUGCUGCCCCCAGACUUUGGAAUACUCUCCCAGUGGCCAUCCGUUCCUCAGACUCCAUCAAAGUUUUUAGAAAGCUUGUUAAAUCUUGGCUUUUUAUCCAGGCCUUUUUACAUGAUUGUUUCUAUUGCUGCUUCUGUGUAUUUUUACCUGCAUACAUUUUUUAUGUUUGUAUUUCAUAUUUUAAAUUAGAUCUGUUUCAUAUUUUUAGCUUAAAUAGUUUUAAUUGUCAUUUUUUUUUAAACUUGGGAUUGUUUUUAAUGAAAGGUGGUAUAUACAUUUAACAAUAAAUAAAAAUAAAAUAA